UACGUAGGGUGCGAGCGUUGUCCGGAAUUAUUGGGCGUAAAGAGCUUGUAGGCGGUUUGUCGCGUCUGCUGUGAAAAUCCGGGGCUCAACCCCGGACUUGCAGUGGGUACGGGCAGACUAGAGUGUGGUAGGGGAGACUGGAGUUCCUGGUGUAGCGGUGAAAUGCGCAGAUAUCAGGAGGAACACCGAUGGCGAAGGCAGGUCUCUGGGCCACUACUGACGCUGAGAAGCGAAAGCAUGGGGAGCGAACAGGAUUAGAUA
Molecule: ribosomal RNA, 261 nt
Filed under: uncultured prokaryote
Description: partial 16S ribosomal RNA
Rfam family: Bacterial small subunit ribosomal RNA
Source: RNAcentral